This 109-nucleotide non-coding RNA is filed under the name unclassified sequences. The record is from Rfam.
AGUGGUACGUCUCCCACUGACCGUAAUCCAGUAUGUUGUGUAUGCAUCGCAGCAUAUAGUAGGUAACCAGGUUACGUGUCCUCCUUAAUUGAGUAGUAAGGCCACUGUG